This 476-nucleotide ribosomal RNA is filed under the name uncultured bacterium. RNAcentral's name for it is "bacterial SSU rRNA". It matches the Rfam family "Bacterial small subunit ribosomal RNA", at positions 15 to 518 of the family's 1533-position model. The record is from RNAcentral.
GAUUCUGGCUCAGAACGAACGCUGGCGGCAUGGAUUAGGCAUGCAAGUCGAACGAAGUAGCAAUACUUAGUGGCGCAAGGGUGAGGAACGCGUGAGUGACCUACCCGCAAGUUUGGAACAGCUCCUGGAAACGGGAAUUAAUACCGGAUGUGAUCAAUGGACUGCAUGGUUUAUUGAUUAAAGCAGUAAUGCGCUUGCGGAUGGGCUCGCGUCCCAUUAGCUAGUUGGUGAGGUAACGGCCCACCAAGGCCAUGAUGGGUAGCUGGUCUGAGAGGACGACCAGCCACACUGGGACUGAGAACUGCCCAGACUCCUACGGGAGGCUGCAGUCGAGAAUUUUGGGCAAUGGACGAAAGUCUGACCCAGCAAUGCCGCGUGCGGGAUGAAGGUCUUCGGAUUGUAAACCGCUGUUUGGAGGGACGAAAAUUGACGGUACUUCCAGAGAAAGCCACGGCUAACUACGUGCCAGCCGCCGC